Haplochromis burtoni (Burton's mouthbrooder) is the source of this 623-nucleotide long non-coding RNA. RefSeq lists it as uncharacterized. The transcript is spliced from 3 exons. The record is from RefSeq and is a predicted model, not a curated record. NCBI's taxonomy places the organism in Eukaryota, Metazoa, Chordata, Actinopteri, Cichliformes, Cichlidae.
GGAAACAGGAAGCUGGCUGCGUUGCUGCUUUGCAGACUUGUUGCUUGUGAGUAGUAAUGGUACAACAUGUUUACAAGUUUAGUUAACUUCUAAACAAAUCUGUGUGAUAGAAAUGCACUAUUUAUUCUAUCUGCAGUCUUAUUCUAUACAGAAAGUUAAGCUAAGUAUUUGAUCAUAGUCUUGGGCCCCUUCCUAAUGCUUAAUUGGCUUUUUUUCAUUUUCACUCUUCAUUCAAAGGCCCCAUAUCUACUCAUAAUGCAAUAUUAUAGGUUUGUGAGAUUUUGAUCAAUUUGAGGUGUUAAGUGUGAGCUGUGAACAUCUGGAGUUGCUUGCUGCUGGCAUUUUACCAUUGUGCAAACAGCGGGGAUUCUUUUAUUUCAGACACCUCCACCAGCAAAACCGUUCUGGGUAACUGAUGCUUUCCACACGCCUUCAAAUUCUCCAGCUAAAAAGAUGGCCAGGACACCUCUACUAUUGUAACACAUCUGGAAAUUGGGUGAAGCACCAUCCUGCACCCAUUUUCUUUCUGGAAAGGUAUUUCUGAAUAUCUGACUGUUUCCAUCUGCUUCUCUCUGUGUCGCUCUCAGAGGUGGCAAAUUACAGACACUGUGUACUUUAGUGCA